Molecule: ribosomal RNA, 698 nt
Filed under: uncultured bacterium
Lineage: Bacteria
Description: bacterial SSU rRNA
Rfam family: Bacterial small subunit ribosomal RNA
Source: RNAcentral
GAGUUUGAUCCUGGCUCACAUUGAACGCUGGCGGCAGGCCUAACACAUGCAAGUCGAACGGUAACAGGGAGAAAGCUUGCUUUCUUUGCUGACGAGUGGCGGACGGGUGAGUAAUGCUUGGGAAUCUGGCCUAUGGAGGGGGAUAACUACGGGAAACUGUAGCUAAUACCGCGUAGUAUCGAAAGAUGAAAGUGUGGGACCGUAAGGCCACAUGCCAUGGGAUGAGCCCAAGUGGGAUUAGGUAGUUGGUAAGGUAAAGGCUUACCAAGCCGACGAUCUCUAGCUGGUCUGAGAGGAUGACCAGCCACACUGGAACUGAGACACGGUCCAGACUCCUACGGGAGGCAGCAGUGGGGAAUAUUGCACAAUGGGGGGAACCCUGACGCAGCCAUGCCGCGUGAAUGAAGAAGGCCUUCGGGUUGUAAAGUUCUUUCGGUGAUGAGGAAGGCAACUACUUUAAUAGAGUAGUUGAUUGACGUUAGUCACAGAAGAAGCACCGGCUAACUCCGUGCCAGCAGCCGCGGUAAUACGGAGGGUGCGAGCGUUAAUCGGAAUAACUGGGCGUAAAGGGCACGCAGGCGGUGACUUAAGUGAGAUGUGAAAGCCCCGGGCUUAACCUGGGAAUUGCAUUUCAUACUGGGUCGCUAGAGUACUUUAGGGAGGGGUAGAAUUCCACGUGUAGCGGUGAAAUGCGUAGA